Molecule: ribosomal RNA, 500 nt
Filed under: uncultured bacterium
Lineage: Bacteria
Description: partial 16S ribosomal RNA
Rfam family: Bacterial small subunit ribosomal RNA
Source: RNAcentral
AUUGAACGCUGGCGGAAUGCUUUACACAUGCAAGUCGAACGGCAGCACGGACUUCGGUCUGGUGGCGAGUGGCGAACGGGUGAGUAAUGUAUCGGAACGUGCCCAGUCGUGGGGGAUAACGUAGUGAAAAUUACGCUAAUACCGCAUACGAUCUAUGGAUGAAAGCGGGGGAUCGCAAGACCUCGCGCGAUUGGAGCGGCCGAUAGCAGAUUAGGUAGUUGGUGGGGUAAAGGCCCACCAAGCCAACGAUCUGUAGCUGGUCUGAGAGGACGACCAGCCACACUGGAACUGAGACACGGUCCAGACUCCUACGGGAGGCAGCAGUGGGGAAUUCUGGACAAUGGGCGAAAGCCUGAUCCAGCCAUUCCGCGUGCAGGAUGAAGGCCCUCGGGUUGUAAACUGCUUUUGUACAGAGCGAAAAGGUUUCUACUAAUACUAGGAGCUCAUGACGGUACUGUAAGAAUAAGCACCGGCUAACUACGUGCCAGCCGCCGCAGUAA